Molecule: ribosomal RNA, 443 nt
Filed under: uncultured bacterium
Lineage: Bacteria
Description: partial 16S ribosomal RNA
Rfam family: Bacterial small subunit ribosomal RNA
Source: RNAcentral
CCUACGGGCGGCAGCAGUGGGGAAUAUUGGGCAAUGGGCGCAAGCCUGACCCAGCAACGCCGCGUGAAGGAAGAAGGCUCUCGGGUUGUAAACUUCUUUUCUCAGGGACGAAGCAAGUGACGGUACCUGCGGAAUAAGCCUCGGCCAACUACGUGCCCGCAGCCGUGGUAAUACGUAGGUGGCAAGCGUUCGCCGGAUUUACUGGGUGUAAAGGGCGUGUAGGAGGGGACGCAAGUCAGAUGUGAAAACCACGGGCUCAACCUGUGGCCUGCAUUUGAAACUGUGUUUCUUGAGUACUGGGGAGGCAGACGGAAUUCCUGGUGUAGCGGUGAAAUGCGUAGAUAUUAGGAGGAACACCAGUGGCGAAGGCGGUCUGCUGGACAGCAACUGACGCUGAGGCGCGAAGGCGUGGGGAGCGAACAGGAUUAGAUACCCUUGUAGUC